GCGGUUGUGGCGGAACGGCAGACGCACCAUCUUGAGGGGGUGGCGAGCAACGCUCGUGUGGGUUCAAAUCCCACCAACCGCACCA
This 85-nucleotide transfer RNA is filed under the name Negativicutes bacterium. Its description in RNAcentral is "tRNA-Leu". It matches the Rfam family "tRNA". From Rfam's summary of the family: Transfer RNA (tRNA) molecules are approximately 80 nucleotides in length. The record is from RNAcentral. Lineage: Bacteria; Bacillati; Bacillota; Negativicutes.